UGGCUUUCUCCUGUGCAAUCCCUGAGUUUUUGGUUGCAAUUCUGACACAACCCUUUCGGGUGGGCGGGACUUCUGAGAAGUCCUCUCCCAUAGGACAGUGGUUUCUCUUGAGUGAUAGUUCAGUGACCUGGAAGUGAUGUAGCCUCCAAGACAUUUUUUUUCCCCCACCUGGUCAACACCAUGAAUUUUGAGCCCCAAACAGGUUAUUUCUGCUGUCUGUGGUGUCUACUGAGGAUCUAAAGAACCUGUGGAACAUCAGAGACUUUGCAGCUACUGGAGCUAACCUUUGUACUGCUAUUGCUACAGAGGAAGCAGCAGAAAGCUGAGCUAACAGGCUGUUUUGCAGGUAAAUACUCUUUUAGUGGAACUGCAGGAUUUUUAUGGUAUAACUCAGACAGAAUCUACAUGAGCUAUUGUGGGAAGACAUUUAAACUACAUUUACAUACAGAUACAUGUAUUUUUUUAUUCCAUGUUACUUGGACGGGCUAAACAAGUUCAUAGUUCUGCCUGCUCCUUUUUCAGUGAAACGAAUGGAUUUUAUGAUGUAACUCUGACUGAAUAAUUAUCUAAAUUGAAAACUGCUGCAUUGCAUUACAAUGGAAGUGCUAAACAGCCACAUGCAUCAACUGCAGCUGUUGACAAGCAUAUGGACCUAUUGUUCGAGUCCGUGGUGGUGGAUGCUCUAUCAUAUCAGGAGUCGGUGGUGGUGGAUGCUCUACCAUAUCAGGAGUCUGACUAAGUACCUGUGCCUGAACCUCUCUGUGUCUAGUUCAAAAGACCUGAAAGACCUGCUGUAAGCAGGCACAGGAUAAUAUUUUAAAAGAACCUGUAAGGUGAGCAACACAACACAAUAUAAAUCUUUAUUAUUAUUGUACGCUGUACAGUUAGAAUAAACUUGCAUGCUCAGAAGCCACGUAUGAUUACAUCGCCUACAGGUUGCCUGAUGCUGAACUUCGGGCAGCUGCGUGCUCCGUGGAACAACCGCCUGUGGGAGGAGUCGUUGUGUUGCUGUUAGGAGUUUGGGUCGGAGUCCUGGGUUUGUGUUCCCUUUAAUCUCUUCAUUAGCCUUGCUAGUCACCAUUGCAGAGCACCAUGGAGAGGCUUACCUGAAAACUCUUCUCAUGGGGCAGGCACAUCCUCACACACCUGUAACCCCAUCCUUGAAUAAAAGCUGGUAGCUGGUCACUCAUCAGAGUGUUUUAACCCAUAUCUAGCCCAUGACUCUGCCGUUUUUCAAACUUACGUUCUCAUGUUCUAUGCAGAUCUAUGGGAAUUCUUUCCUUGAAGCUCCUGAUCACACAACCAUACUGGCAGUCGGCUUACCCACUACCUUCUGCUCACCCGCUUGCUACUCAUGCUGUCAUUCUCCCAGACUUCUGGUUGUUUCGCCACCAUUCUGCUGUCUCCCGUCUGCGCUACAAUUUUAGACCGUAAGUACCUAAACUUUUCCUUUUGUAAGUCAUUCUUUAGUCAUUACUAACACUCAAUUUUACCUCAGGGCCUUCUGAUCUUUAAACACUAAAACCUGUGGCUCCAUCUCUGUGGUGUUUCUCAGACUCUAAGCUUCUGGUUCCUGAUCUCCAGCUGUUACCUCUUCAGUCAUCCGUCAAACAUUUUAAUAAACUGUUUUUAGCU
Non-coding RNA from Nothobranchius furzeri (turquoise killifish), 1635 nucleotides. Lineage: Eukaryota; Metazoa; Chordata; Actinopteri; Cyprinodontiformes; Nothobranchiidae. The record is from RefSeq and is a predicted model, not a curated record.